CAUUGCCGCCUACUCGCACAUAUAAAAGGACAUGGACAACUGUAAAGUCAACAAGAGAAGCCCACAGCUAUGAAGCUCAUCACCGCAGCACUGGUCCUGGCGUUGGUGCUGGUGAGCAGCCCCGUAGAGGCUGGGAGGCCGGGAAGCUGCCCGAAGCUGCUGAUCAUCAUCCGUCCUUUAAGCAAAGUGAUACCGCAGUGCUACCAUGACUACCAAUGUCGCCGUCCCCUGAAGUGCUGCGGUGGCAUAUGCCGCUUGCCCUGCCUGCCCGCUUGCAGAUACGGUACGACGUGCACCAUCAUCAACUACAAGCUCUUCAAAUAUGUUCCCGCCAAGUGGAUUCUCCGAUGCAUCUAAAGACGCCGCUUGAGGACGAACGUCGGCCAGCGGUCGUGCCGCCCCCUGCUCACCGUCGGCAGCAACGUGCUGACAUUCGCAAGCUUGUCGUACGAUUGGAACAGGGUCUGAUGUGUUGCCGUCGGUUCGGGCAUUUUGAUGUAACGGCACUGAUCAAAUGAUUUCCUUUUGGACUUAAAAUCUGGGUAAAAGUGAACAAUUGUUCCACCCGUUCGUGUGCUUGGUUUUUGUGCAGGCGCAAGAAAUUGGACGUAAAUAUAUGAAACUGGAGACAUUUCUGCGUCGAAGCUGGCACCCACUUUCUACUCUGACAAAAAUAUAACCGGAUUCCAAG
Molecule: long non-coding RNA, 691 nt
Filed under: Pollicipes pollicipes
Lineage: Eukaryota; Metazoa; Arthropoda; Thecostraca; Pollicipedomorpha; Pollicipedidae
Description: uncharacterized LOC119092929
Source: RNAcentral